RNAcentral lists this transfer RNA (72 nucleotides) under Camelus bactrianus (Bactrian camel). It matches the Rfam family "tRNA". Rfam says of the family: Transfer RNA (tRNA) molecules are approximately 80 nucleotides in length. Their secondary structure includes four short double-helical elements and three loops (D, anti-codon, and T loops). The record is from Rfam by way of RNAcentral. Lineage: Eukaryota; Metazoa; Chordata; Mammalia; Artiodactyla; Camelidae. RNAcentral also lists the same sequence under 2 other names.
GUGGGUAUAGCUCAUUGGUAGAGUAUAUGGUUAGCAAGCAUGAGAUCCAGGGCUCAAUCCCCAGUACCUCUA